Long non-coding RNA from Anolis carolinensis (green anole), 4670 nucleotides. RefSeq lists it as uncharacterized. Lineage: Eukaryota; Metazoa; Chordata; Lepidosauria; Squamata; Anolidae. The transcript is spliced from 2 exons. The record is from RefSeq and is a predicted model, not a curated record.
CACCGUCAGGUGCCUUUCCUUCGCACGGAUCCCUCGGUGGAGGAAGUGGGGGAACGAGGCCGUUUCGUGUAAGACUUCGGGACAGGCCUGGGCAACCUUGGGCCCUUCCUCCAGGUGUUUUGGACUUCAACGCCGAGACCCUAUUUUUUUAAGACUGACUUUGCAUCUCCUGAUUUAUUUAUUUUUUUCGUGUCAGGAGCAACUUGAGUUGCUUCUUGAGUGAGAGAAUUGGCCGUCUGCCCAGGGGACGCCUGGAUGUUUUGAUGUUUUUACCAUCCUUGUGGGAGGCUUCUCUCAUGUCCCCGCAUGGAGUUGGAGCUUAUAGAGGGAGCUCAUCCGCACUCUCCCCGGGUGGGAUUCGAACCUGGCAGCUUUCAGGUCAGCAACCCAACCUUCAAGUCACGAGGCUUUAGUCCACUGCGCCAUUAUCUCCUGAUAAUUUGCAAGGAUUUGCAAGGCCUGCUAAACAGGCCGAUUUCCCAUGUGAUAAAGUACAUGCAACGUGCGGGGCUUGAUGAAUCCAAGCCUGGAGUUUAAACUGCUGGAAGAAAUAUUAACAACCUUAGAUAUGCAGAUGAUACCACUCUGAUGGCUGAGAGCGAGGAGGAACUUGGGAGCCUUAUGACCAUGGUGAAAGGAGGAAGUGCAAAAGCUGGGUUAAACAUCAAGAAAACCAAGAUUAUGGCAACCAGACUGAUUGAUUACUGGCAAAUAGAGGGAGAAACUGGGGAGGCAGUGACAAACUUUGGAUUUCUAGGCACAAAGAUCACUGCAGAUGCAGACUGCAGCCAGGAAAUCAGAACACAUUUAUUUCUUGGGAGGAGAGCAAUGACUAACCUUGAUAAAAUAGCGAAGAGUAGAGACAUCACACUGGCAAUGAAGGUCCGUAUAGUUAAAGCAAAGGUACUUCCAUAGUAAUCUAUGGAUGCGAGAGCCAGACCAUAAGGAAGGCUGAGCGAGGGAAGAUAGAUGCUUUUGAACUGUAAUGUUGGAGGAAAAUCCUGAGAGUGCCUUGGACCGCAAGAAGAUCCAACCAAGAAGAUCCAACCAGUCCCUACCCCAGGAAAUAAUGCCCGUCUGCUCACUGGAGGAAAGGUUAUUAGAGGCAAAGAUGAAGUACUUUGGCCCCAUAAAGAGAAGACAGGACAGCAUAGAGAAGAGAAUGAUGCCGGGGAAAAUGGAAGCAAAAAGGAAGAGGGGUUGACCAAGACCAAGAUGGAUGGGUGGUGUCCUUGAAGUGACUGGCUUGACCUUGAAGGAGCUGGGGGUGGCAACGGCUGACAGGGAGCUCUGUCAUGGGCUUGUCCAUGAGGUCACAAAGAGUUGGAAGCGACUGAACAAAUAAACAACAAAUUGUGUUGUCGAAGGCUUUCAUGGCUGGGAUCACAGGGUUGUUGUAUGUUUUACGGGCUGUAUGGGUUCUGGAACAUGGCCAUACAGCCCGGAAAACAUAAAACAACAAAUUCCUUAUGUAAUAUCCUAUGAAAUUCAUGAGGUUGGCAGAAGUGAGCAGGUUACUUUUAUUGUGUAUAUAUCUUAUCUAUACACAUCUAUCUAUACACAUAAUAUCUAUCUAUACACAUAAUAAAAGUAAUGUGCAUGUAUGUAUGUGGAGGUGUCCACUUACACAGACAACCUCCCACCUCCACAAACAGUUGUAGUUCCCACUGAGCAGGAGACACCAAUGGCCCUUCCGCCACUGACAUGCAGGUUAUAGUGAGCACCAUGAACAUGCAGCCCAAGCCCUGCCAAUGUCCCCAACAAACACAGUUCUGCCCCCCACCCAAGUGAAGGCUUUCAUUCGGGGACCUUUCAUCCUAGAUGUUCUGUUCUUCCUGCAAAACGUAUAUCCCAGGUUUCCUUAAUGUGCAUGAUCCCGCCCACUGCCUCUACCUUAACCCUUUCCUACCCCUUCCUAUGGCACACAGCAAACAGAGGAAUUGAUCAGCAACUGAAUAAGGUGUUUGGGGAGAAUUCACCAUGAUUUAUAAGUUGUACUUGACCUACAUCCAGAGAGCACUCUUAACCCAACCAACAAUUGAUCUGGACCAAACAUGCCAUGGAUAAUGGGACCUGCAGUACCUUCACUGAUACUGUGACCCCCACCAACAAUGGACUGGGACCAAACUUGGCACAGAGAAGCCCCAUGACCAACUGAACAUACUGCAGGGGUUUGGGGGAAUGGAUCUUGAUUUUGGGAGUCUAGAAAGCACUGAAGCCAAACCUGGCAUACAGACCUAACAUGGCCAACUGUGCGUACUGGCAAGAUUUGGGGAGUGAUUGCCCAGGGAAUCUGGGAAUUGUAAUUCUCCCUUAUCCAGACAGCACUGAACCCAGCCGACGAUGGAUGUGGACCAAACUUCAGUGAUAUGACCUAACAUCCCAAAACAAACAAUGCCUUCUUCUAAUAACCCGGGCACCGCCGGCUCCCCAAGCUAGUAGGAAAUAAAACAGACAAUCAAGAAAAAAGAUAUACAAAAUAAUAAGCAGGUUUACAAAAUAGUCUACAGCUAGCACUCGUUAAAUGUGUGAAAAAUUAAAAUUGGCAGUACAGUUAUUAUACCUUUAUAUAUCUUAUCCCUCUAACCCCACACCUGUGAACUCAACCCACAUGACCUGCAACACCCCUUAACAUGAAUCACAUAAAACUACCCAUAUGUCUUCUUUCACUAAAUCCCUUUGUAGCAAUAAUCAAAUCUACCUUUGGCUUCUAUCCCAGGUACCCAAAUGCCAGCCUACAUUUGUUUGCAAAUUCUUCAUUGUUUCCUCCUCCGCUACUAUUUGACAGCUUGGCAAUUUGGAUAUAAUCUACUAAGCAAUAUUGCAAAACAAUAUUGGCAAAUUUCUUCAUCUCCUAUACUAAUACACCUUAAAUAGUCCUAAUGAACAGCAUUCCUUGCGUAAUAUCCUAAUGACCCAAAUUCUCUGCUAAAAUCAUCUGUAAGAAAACCCCUUUCAUUUGCAAAACCCUUUCUAAUCUGUUGCAUCAGUGCUGUUGGGUCAAAUACCAUAUUUUUUUCCUCAGGCAGGCCACUUAUUCCUGCUUUCGAAAAAUAAGGAAAUGUAAGGUGAGAAGUAGUGAUCUUCCUGCAAUUUGUUUUAGUAUGCCUGCAUCACUUACUUGCCUUAGGGAGGGCAAGUAAUUUCUCUUUCUGUAUUCCCCAGAGAUUCUCUCCCUGUCUCUCAAAGAGAAGUUGCUUAGCCCACUGGAUUACAAUAAUGUGAACAUAAAUAAGAAGCAGUUUGAAACAUUCAAUCUAAUUCAUGAGUUUUUUUCUUCAAAAGCUAGAAGGGUGUUUCCCUUUAAAAAUAAAGUAAGGGAUCCUCAAUCUCCAGGCUUGGGGGCGGGUGGGUAAUUCUCCGUGCCUUCCUUGCUCUCUCCAUGACACCCCCAAUUCCUUAUUCCUUCUACAUCAACUUCUUGAGUGUGCACCUACUAGAUGAGAUAGAGAAAGGUGACAAGAUAGGUUAAGGAAACUCAGCAUGAUAAGGCUAUCGAUGGCUACUGUGAUCAUAAUACACAAGAGAAAAGGGAGACAUACUUCCAGAUGCUGGAAUAAGUCUUUAUUCACUUUAAAAAAAAACUUAUUUUGACAUAUGAAUAUUCUGUGGCCUUUUUCAAAUGAUGUAGAAGGAAUAGAAUAGUGCUUAAUCAAAUAAUAUUAUAAAUUCUUUUUGUUGUGUACCUUUAAGUCAACCCAAAGUUACAGUAUAACCCUGUGAUAGGGUGUCAAGAUUUAUUCAGGAGUUUUGUCAUUUUCCUCUAAAGCUGAUUGUGACUUGUGAAAGGCUUAGUAGAGAUUUAAACUCUGAUUUUCCAAGUCUUGUCCAGCAGUCAAACCAGCAACACACCAGGAGUGGAAAUUGUGCAGCAGUCCAGAUUUUGAUGGACUUCAACUCCCAGAAACCUUAACCAGCAAAGUCAGUCCUGAGGAAUACCGGGAAUUGCAGUUCAGCAAGAUGUGGAAAACCACCCAUUUCACACCUCUACUUUACGUGGAUCUAGAAACAAGUCAUAUAGCAGUAACAGCAGAUUGUAAGAUAGAAGUUUGGCUCAGAGCCACCAUUGCUAUUUCCUAGCAUUGUGAAUAUUUUCUUCUGGCACAACUCCUGUUCUUUUCAGCAGCUGCGUGACAGGAAGGAAUCCAGCAGCAUAAGCAUUUCCCAAGCAAGGAGUGAUGCAACAAUGAGAAAACAAUCUUGUGCUGACUUUAAAAAACACUAAGCAGGUACUGAGAAUGCAGCAGACUUCUGACAAUUAUUCCCUUGAGUAAUACUAUUAAUUUUCUGUCUCGUCUAUUUUAUUUUUCAUUUUUUGUAUUGUUUCUAUUUGCCCUUGUAUUUAUUCCUUGUGUAAUAGGUCUGGCUGAGAGAUACUGACUAGUCAAAAGCCAGUGAUCUUCCUGACUGCACGAGAAUAUAAACUUGAAACUUCUGACCCUAAUCCAAUACUCCAAUUAAUAAUUUUGUCUUUACUUGAGAUUGCCAAACAUUGCAUGUUGUAUAUUUAAUCAUUCAUUUAUGUGGCAUCACUUAGUAAUAGCAUGUCUGUUGGGGAGAUAAUUACAUUUAGAUGCAGCAAUUCAGAAGUUUCUUAUUGAAAUAAAACACAACACCUUCUUUAAACAAGCCAUUAAUAAUGUUAUUGACAAUAAAUAACGAUAGCUACA